Molecule: ribosomal RNA, 440 nt
Filed under: uncultured bacterium
Lineage: Bacteria
Description: partial 16S ribosomal RNA
Rfam family: Bacterial small subunit ribosomal RNA
Source: RNAcentral
CCUACGGGGGGCAGCAGUGGGGGAUAUUGCACAAUGGGGGAAACCCUGAUGCAGCGACGCCGCGUGGGUGAAGAAGCGCCUCGGCGCGUAAAGCUCUGUCAGCAGGGAAGAAAAUGACGGUACCUGAAGAAGAAGCCCCGGCUAACUACGUGCCAGCAGCCGCGGUAAUACGUAGGGGGCAAGCGUUAUCCGGAUUUACUGGGUGUAAAGGGGGCGCAGACGGCGAUGCAAGCCAGGAGUGAAAGCCCGGGGGCCAACCCCGGGACUGCUCUUGGAACUGCGUGGCUAGAGUGCAGGAGGGGCAGGCGGAAUUCCUGGUGUAGCGGUGAAAUGCGUAGAUAUUAGGAGGAACACCAGUGGCGAAGGCGGCUUUCUGGACUGUAACUGACACUGAGGUACGAAAGCGUGGGGAGCAAACAGGAUUAGAUACCCGAGUAGUC